UGCCAGCCGCCGCGGUAAUACGUAAGGGGCAAGCGUUGUUCGGAUUCAUUGGGCGUAAAGGGCACGCAGGCGGAUUGUUAAGUUGGGUGUAUAACCUCCAGGCUCAACCUGGAGUCUGCACCCAAAACUGGCAGUCUAGAGUUUUGAAGAGGAAAGCGGAAUUCUUGGUGUAGCGGUGGAAUGCGUAGAUAUCAAGAGGAAUACCAAUGGCGAAGGCAGCUUUCUGGACAAAAACUGACGCUCAGGUGCGAAAGCGUGGGGAGCAAACAGGCUUAGAUA
Molecule: ribosomal RNA, 279 nt
Filed under: uncultured bacterium
Lineage: Bacteria
Description: partial 16S ribosomal RNA
Rfam family: Bacterial small subunit ribosomal RNA
Source: RNAcentral